This 254-nucleotide ribosomal RNA is filed under the name uncultured bacterium. Its description in RNAcentral is "partial 16S ribosomal RNA". It matches the Rfam family "Bacterial small subunit ribosomal RNA", at positions 524 to 776 of the family's 1533-position model. The record is from RNAcentral.
UACAGAGGUCCCAAGCGUUUGUUCGGAUUCAUUGGGCGUAAAGGGUGUGUAGGUGGCGCCGUAAGUCGGGUGUGAAAUUUCGGAGCUUAACUCCGAAACUGCAUUCGAUACUGCGGUGCUUGAGGACUGGAGAGGAGACUGGAAUUCAUGGUGUAGCAGUGAAAUGCGUAGAGAUCAUGAGGAAGACCAGUGGCGAAGGCGGGUCUCUGGACAGUUCCUGACACUGAGACACGAAGGCCAGGGGAGCAAACGGG